AGCGAACGCUGGCGGCAGGCUUAACACAUGCAAGUCGAACGGAUGUAGCAAUACAUCAGUGGCAGACGGGUGAGUAACGCGUGGGAACAUGCCCUUCGGUUCGGAAUAACACAGGGAAACUUGUGCUAAUACCGGAUACGUCCGAGAGGAGAAAGAUUUAUUGCCGAGGGAUUGGCCCGCGUCUGAUUAGCUAGUUGGUGAGGUAACGGCUCACCAAGGCGACGAUCAGUAGCUGGUCUGAGAGGAUGAUCAGCCACACUGGGACUGAGACACGGCCCAGACUCCUACGGGUGGCAG
This 297-nucleotide ribosomal RNA is filed under the name uncultured Pseudomonadota bacterium. RNAcentral's name for it is "uncultured proteobacterium partial 16S ribosomal RNA". It matches the Rfam family "Bacterial small subunit ribosomal RNA", at positions 29 to 351 of the family's 1533-position model. The record is from RNAcentral. Lineage: Bacteria; Pseudomonadati; Pseudomonadota.